GGGGUUCCACGCGUUCCCAUACCGAACACGACCGUUAAGACCUCCAGCGCCGAUGGUACUUGGACCGCAGGGUCCUGGGAGAGUAGGAC
This 89-nucleotide ribosomal RNA is filed under the name Cohnella kolymensis. Lineage: Bacteria; Bacillati; Bacillota; Bacilli; Caryophanales; Paenibacillaceae. The record is from RNAcentral.